This 204-nucleotide long non-coding RNA is filed under the name Lathyrus oleraceus (garden pea). Its description in RNAcentral is "Pisum sativum (pea) long non-coding RNA (PSAT_LNC002500)". The record is from RNAcentral. Lineage: Eukaryota; Viridiplantae; Streptophyta; Magnoliopsida; Fabales; Fabaceae.
UAAAUUACUGUUUAUUAUUAUUUCUCAUUUUUUUAUUUCUUCUCUUUCAUAAAGUCACUCGGUACUUUUUUAUUAUUGUUGUUAUAUUCAUGAUCCGGUGCCUAACCCAGUCCCCGUGCACAUUCCUGAGAAUGUAGCUGCUGGCGGGGACAUCAAUGAGGAUUAUGUUUAGGAGCCAGCUGCUCCUGCUACUGACACACACCC